AAAAAAAAUAGAAGAAUGAACUGGAAAGGGGGUUGUGGCUUAGAACAGGGGGGAGGAGCGGUGGAGCAGCAGCGCCGCCGCGCGCUGUGCGCCACGGCAGCCGGAGACAGGAAGAAGUACAGCAGCAGCGCCGAAGCUGGGACGGAGGGAGGCGGCCUGACCAACCGCUGCUCUCUGUCGCGGGACGGCGAGGGUGGCCGCGCUGUCGGCUGAAGAGAGAGAGAAAGGUGAGGGUGGUGUUGGGCAGGAGCAGGCGACGGUUGGCGGAGGAUGAGGCCGGAGGAGGAGUCAGCCGCGGCUUGGAGCGGCGAGGAGAAGGGCAGAAGGGGGGAGAGAAGUCGAUGGAAAGGGAGAGAGGGAGAGAGGUUAAGGAGAGGACAGGGGGAGGCAGAGUCGCGGCCUCCGGCGGCGGCGUGCCGUCCGGUGGCGGCGGCAGGAGGCUGAGAAGAGGGGAGGGGGCAGGGCACCGAGAGGGAGAGAAGAAGAGAGGGAGUGAGGCUGCGUGAGAUGUGUGUGUGUAUGGUGGGAGUGUGAUUAAAUUAGGGUGAAGGAAAGAAUGGGCUUGGGCCCUAGGAUUGGUUUUAAUUUAAGAUGGUUGGGCUCAGUAUAAUUAGUAGCUGGGCUUCAGAUUUUAAUUUUACUCUAAUUAUAUUGGGUUUGGUAUUUUUGAUCACUAACCCAAAUUUUUUUUAUAAGAAGCAUACAUUUUAUUAUUUGAUUCAUUAGAUCAAUUAUUUUAUAUGGUCUUAUACUUUAAAUUAUUUUCUAAAAGUUCAAUUAGGCCCUUAUGUUUUGUUAUUCGAAUUUAUCUGACUAGGUGCGGCGCGACUAAGACGUGAAUUUUAAUUUCUCACAGUUAAUUUCAAGUUCAAGUUACAGGUAACUAAGGUUGGAGACGCGUGGAGGAUCGAAUGGGCGCGUCAAGUAAAUAUUUUUGAAAAUAUAAUGUUGUAGUUACACCUAACCUUUUGCUUUGUACAGUUUUCGAAGUCUCAAACUACUCUUGAGAUUUUGGUGUAACUUAUCGAGUUUAGUGUUAUCAUAUUAGCUUCCUAUCAUGGCUGGCCUUCUUUUCAAAUUAUUUCAAAUAUUUUAUUUAAAAAUUUAUUUCUUUGAAAAUAAAUCCAAAUCUUUAUUUUAU
Salvia miltiorrhiza (redroot sage) is the source of this 1141-nucleotide long non-coding RNA. RefSeq lists it as uncharacterized. The record is from RefSeq and is a predicted model, not a curated record. Lineage: Eukaryota; Viridiplantae; Streptophyta; Magnoliopsida; Lamiales; Lamiaceae. The transcript is spliced from 2 exons.